Molecule: non-coding RNA, 876 nt
Organism: Doryrhamphus excisus (bluestripe pipefish)
Lineage: Eukaryota; Metazoa; Chordata; Actinopteri; Syngnathiformes; Syngnathidae
Source: RefSeq, a predicted model, not a curated record
GUUCCACCUGAGAUGUAUGAAAAGAGUGAAGUUCAAUGAAGUGUUUCAGUGUGACAAGACGCCUCCAUCCAUCAGCGGAGAAGAAACAAGCUGUCUUGCCACAGGAGGAGCUCAUCACACACACUCUUGUUUACGUGUGUGUGUGUUGUGUUGUCAGGACGGUGACGCUUGCCAAGGUGUUCACAGACUCUGUGGAAGGGGCUGUCACGUUAGGACGACUGACAUGACAGCUAACUUGUCUUCUGGAGGGUUCUCAAUGCCGAGAUUCUUCUCUCUUUCCUUCCAUUGGGCUGAUUUAUGUUUCCCCUUUCUUCCAUCAACACUUUAAAUGUGUUAAAAAGUGCCGUUAGGAGUGGUUGUCAUAUGACAGUCAUGUGACGCUUUAAUAGAGUAUCAAACAUUACAGUUAAACCCUUUUUAACGAUAUUUCUUCCAUGAAUUAUAGUCUUAACCCAAAAGAAGCCAAAGUGUCCCCAAAAUGGCGGCCUGUCAGGUUUUUAUAGCCUUAACCCAUAGGAAGCCAUGGUGUGUCCCCAAAAUGGCGACCUGUCAGGUUUUUAUAGCCUUAACCCAUAAGAAGCCAUGGUGUGUCCCCAAAAUGGCGGCCUGUCAGUGUUUCCAACUAUGAGGUAGAAAUGCUCAGGCUGGAUUUACACGACGCGUCAGGCUGGAAUGGAACUGGAUGUCCUCCGACACCCACGUUUGCCCGGACAACACAAAUAAACGAUGGAAAUGUCAAAUGUUGAAAAAUGAUUAGAUUUUGACAUUAAAGCUCGUUUUAAAGCCACAGUUUUCUUUCUCACCGAUAUGAUACAGAUGUACCUUAAAAUGAAAUGAUGCGUCUUCUUCUGGAUGCAUUUCAGAAAUAAACAUUGC